The submitters of this non-coding RNA (98 nucleotides) gave its source as unclassified sequences. The record is from Rfam.
AAUGCCCCUUCCGGCCGGGCCUUAAAUGCCGGAACGCUCCAGCGCAGAGCAGCUGCGAAUUUACAAAUAAAAGCGAUUUGCCAGAGCGUGAAAGGAUC